UGGGGAAUUUUGCACAAUGGGGGAAACCCUGAUGCAGCGACGCCGCGUGAUUUAGAAGGCCUUCGGGUUGUAAAAAUCUUUUCUAUGGGAAGAAAAUGACAGUACCAUAGGAAUAAGGACCGGCUAAUUACGUGCCAGCAGCCGCGGUAAUACGUAAGGUCCGAGCGUUGUCCGGAAUCAUUGGGCGUAAAGGGUACGUAGGCGGGUAAGCAAGUUAGAAGUGAAAUCCUGUAGCUCAACUACAGUAAGCUUUUAAAACUGCUCAUCUUGAGAUAGGGAAGGGAAAGUGGAAUUCCUAGUGUAGCGGUGAAAUGCGCAGAUAUUAGGAGGAAUACCGGUGGCAAAGGCGACUUUCUGGCCAUAAUCUGACGCUGAGGUACGAAAGCGUGGGUAGCAAACAGG
Molecule: ribosomal RNA, 402 nt
Filed under: Bacteroidota bacterium
Lineage: Bacteria; Pseudomonadati; Bacteroidota
Description: Bacteroidetes bacterium partial 16S ribosomal RNA
Rfam family: Bacterial small subunit ribosomal RNA
Source: RNAcentral